This 931-nucleotide long non-coding RNA is filed under the name Phasianus colchicus (ring-necked pheasant). RNAcentral describes it as "lncRNA (ENSPCLG00000017312.1)". The record is from RNAcentral. Lineage: Eukaryota; Metazoa; Chordata; Aves; Galliformes; Phasianidae.
GGUGCUGUUAGUCCCAUUGGGUGCCAUUGGGUGCCAUUGGGUGCCGUUGGGUGCCGUUGGGUGCUAUUGGGUGCCGUUGGGUGCUGUUAGUCCCAUUGGGUGCUAUUGGGUGCCGUUGGGUGCUGUUGGGUGCUGUUGGGUGCCGUUGGGUGCCGUUGGGUGCUGCUGGGUGCUGUUAGUCCUAUUGGGUGCCAUUGGGUGCCACUGGGUGCCGUUGGGUGCUGUUGGGUGCCGUUGGGUGCCGCUGGGUGCUGUUAGUCCCAUUGGGUACUAUUGGGUGCCAUUGGGUGCCGUUGGGUGCUGUUGGGUGCUGUUGGGUGCCGUUGGGUGCCGCUGGGUGCUGUUAGUCCCAUUGGGUACUAUUGGGUGCCAUUGGGUGCCGUUGGAUGCUGUUGGGUGCCGCUGGGUGCCGUUGGGUGCUGUUAGUCCCAUUGGGUGCCGUUGGGUGCUGUUAGUCCCACUGGGUGCUAUUGGGUGCCGUUGGGUGCUGUUGGGUGUCGUUGGGUGCUGUUGGGUGCCGUUGGGUGUCGUUGGGUGCUGUUGGUCCCAUUGGGUGCCGUUGGGCACCAUUGGGUGCCAGUGGGUGUUGUUGGGUGCUGUUGGGUGCCGUUGGGUGCCAUUGGGUGCUGUUGCUCCCAUUGGGUGCUGUUGGUCCCAUUGGGUGUUUUUGGGUGCCAUUGGGUGCCAUUGGGUGCCGUUGGGUGCCGUUGGGUGUUGCUGCUCCCAUUGGGUGCCGUUGGGUGCCAUUGGGUGCUGUUGCUCCCAUUGGGUGCCGUUGGGUGCUGUUGGGUGCCAUUGGAUGCUGUUCGGUGACGUUGGUUGCUGUUGGGGGCUGUUGUUCCCAUUGGGUGCCGUUGGGUGUCAUUGGGUGCUGUUGGUCCUAUUGGGUGCCACUGGGUGCCAUUGGGUGCCAUUGGGUGCCAAUGGUUGA